Molecule: long non-coding RNA, 231 nt
Filed under: Elaeis guineensis (African oil palm)
Lineage: Eukaryota; Viridiplantae; Streptophyta; Magnoliopsida; Arecales; Arecaceae
Description: long non-coding RNA (EGUI_LNC017218)
Source: RNAcentral
AUGAGAUGCAUGACUAGACUAGGAAUAGUUUAAACUAUGAAUAAUCUUGAAGUUUUAUAUUUUAAUAUGAUUAAAAUAUAAAUUAGAUCUAAUUUAUUCUCUAAUUUUUUGAUGUUAUAAAUAUUAUAUUCAGAUCAAAAAAUAAAAAUAAAAUUUAAUUAAUUCAUAAGAUUGAUCUGCUGCAUGCCUAGACUAGUUGUAGAAUUAUUCUAGUAACUAUCUAGAAUAAAU